RNAcentral lists this ribosomal RNA (402 nucleotides) under uncultured bacterium. Its description in RNAcentral is "bacterial SSU rRNA". It matches the Rfam family "Bacterial small subunit ribosomal RNA", at positions 355 to 774 of the family's 1533-position model. The record is from RNAcentral.
UGGGGAAUAUUGGACAAUGGGCGAAAGCCUGAUCCAGCCAUGCCGCGUGAGUGAUGAAGGCCCUAGGGUUGUAAAGCUCUUUUGUGCGGGAAGAUAAUGACGGUACCGCAAGAAUAAGCCCCGGCUAACUUCGUGCCAGCAGCCGCGGUAAUACGAAGGGGGCUAGCGUUGCUCGGAAUCACUGGGCGUAAAGGGUGCGUAGGCGGGUUUCUAAGUCCGAGGUGAAAGCCUGGAGCUCAACUCCAGAACUGCCUUUGAUACUGGAAGUCUUGAGUUCGGGAGAGGUGAGUGGAACUGCGAGUGUAGAGGUGAAAUUCGUAGAUAUUCGCAAGAACACCAGUGGCGAAGGCGGCUCACUGGCCCGAUACUGACGCUGAGGCACGAAAGCGUGGGGAGCAAACA